UGGUUUUAUGAUUAUUAGUACAACUUACAUACACAACUUUGAAUCCUGGUGCGAAGAAACUUUCAAACAUGAUUUUUUGACAUUUACGUUAAAUUAUCAUGAUGAAAUUGUAAAUUUCUUAGAUGUAAAUGUAAUUUUAUCAUCUGAAAACAAAAUCGAGACGUCGUUAUACAAAAAACCAAUGGCUAAACCCUUAUAUGCACACUAUUUUAGCAACCUACCAAAACAUUUAUUGCGAUCUUUACCAUUUAGUCAAGGAAUGAGAAUUGUAAGAAUAUGUACAGAUAAUAAUACUAAAAAUAAUGAAAUAGAAAUUAUGCUAAACCAUUUUCGUAAUCGUUGUUACCCAAAUAAUUUGUUAGUAGAUACAAAAACUAAACUUUAUCAACUAGACAGAUUUGAACUACUUACUCCCAACAAAAAGCUCAUAAUUGAAAACUUGUCUCUUUAUAAUGCAGACAUUUUGCAGAAAUUUAAGGUCAAAACAGAAACGAUCAAGACUCAGGAUAUAAAUACGAAGUAUAUUGUAAUGCCAUACUAUAAUGCUGUAUCAAAUUUAUCCAAAAUAGCAAUAGAUUUUAUACGAAAUGAAGCCAACAAGUCUAAUAAUGAUAAAUAUAAGCAUAUUGUGAACUCAUGGAAUAUGAUUUGUAGUUAUAAGAAAGUCAAUACACUUAAGGAUAUUUGUAAGUAAUACAUGGACAAGUACUGUUCUCAAAUUAAGUUAUGUAAAUCAUAAACGCUACGAAUGAUUUUUAGCUUGCCCACCACCACCACUAUUAAUACUUGUCCACACUGUUCAGUGUUAUUUUAUAAAUGUAUUUGUAGUUUUUGUUUCAAAAUUUGAACUAUUAAUCAUAAACUGUGAAACAGCGUGACAGUGGAAUUAAUCGCUUUUUAUAAGAAAAGAUGUCUUUACAAUUCGAGUAUAUUUAAUUUACACCAUAGCCUGAUGAAGUUAUUCGAAACCGGUCGCAAUGGUGAAUAAAUCUGAUCUUCAUUCAACAGUUUAAAGUGUUCAUUGUUCUUAUCAAAAAGUCAUUGUUCUCAGUAGCUAAAGCAGGCCUGGUCAGAUUUCGUGUUGAAGUCAAUAAAUCGUAAUUGUCAUUGGUA
This is a long non-coding RNA of Folsomia candida, 1113 nucleotides long. RefSeq lists it as uncharacterized. The record is from RefSeq and is a predicted model, not a curated record. The transcript is spliced from 3 exons. NCBI's taxonomy places the organism in Eukaryota, Metazoa, Arthropoda, Collembola, Entomobryomorpha, Isotomidae.